UACGUAGGGUGCAAGCGUUGUCCGGAAUUAUUGGGCGUAAAGAGCUCGUAGGCGGUUUGUCGCGUCUGCUGUGAAACGCGAGGCUCAACCUCGCGCCUGCAGUGGGUACGGGCAGACUAGAGUGCGGUAGGGAGACUGGAAUUCCUGGUGUAGCGGUGAAAUGCGCAGAUAUCAGGAGGAACACCGGUGGCGAAGGCGGGUCUCUGGGCCGUAACUGAACGCUGAGACUCGAAAGCGUGGGAG
Molecule: ribosomal RNA, 243 nt
Filed under: uncultured bacterium
Lineage: Bacteria
Description: partial 16S ribosomal RNA
Rfam family: Bacterial small subunit ribosomal RNA
Source: RNAcentral